This 700-nucleotide ribosomal RNA is filed under the name uncultured beta proteobacterium. RNAcentral describes it as "bacterial SSU rRNA". It matches the Rfam family "Bacterial small subunit ribosomal RNA", at positions 56 to 751 of the family's 1533-position model. The record is from RNAcentral. Lineage: Bacteria; Pseudomonadati; Pseudomonadota; Betaproteobacteria.
UGCAAGUCGAACGGCAGCGGGGACUUCGGUCCGCCGGCGAGUGGCGAACGGGUGAGUAACGUAUCGGAACGUACCUUUCAGUGGGGGAUAACGUAGCGAAAGUUACGCUAAUACCGCAUAUUCUGUGAGCAGGAAAGCAGGGGAUCGCAAGACCUUGCGCUGAUUGAGCGGCCGAUAUCAGAUUAGCUAGUUGGUGAGGUAAAGGCUCACCAAGGCGACGAUCUGUAGCGGGUCUGAGAGGAUGAUCCGCCACACUGGAACUGAGACACGGUCCAGACUCCUACGGGAGGCAGCAGUGGGGAAUUUUGGACAAUGGGGGCAACCCUGAUCCAGCCAUGCCGCGUGAGUGAAGAAGGCCUUCGGGUUGUAAAGCUCUUUCGGCCGGGAAGAAAUCGUAUGGGUUAAUACCCUGUGCGGGUGACGGUACCGGCAUAAGAAGCACCGGCUAACUACGUGCCAGCAGCCGCGGUAAUACGUAGGGUGCGAGCGUUAAUCGGAAUUACUGGGCGUAAAGCGUGCGCAGGCGGUUUUGUAAGACAGGCGUGAAAUCCCCGGGCUCAACCUGGGAACUGCGCUUGUGACUGCAAGGCUAGAGUAUGGCAGAGGGGGGUGGAAUUCCACGUGUAGCAGUGAAAUGCGUAGAGAUGUGGAGGAACACCAAUGGCGAAAGCAGCCCCCUGGGCCAAUACUGACGCUCAUG